UUUAAAUUGUUUCUGUAAUGGCUGGCUCAGAGGCAGGAAUAUUUGGCAGCCCUGAAAUUAAAAGUGAUAAAUUUCCUUGCCAAGCUUUGAUCGAUAAUAGAGGCCUCAUCUGUUAAUCAAUAAGACAGUCUCUGCCUGUUUACUGUGCAUAUGUUGUUUGCUGUUGCCUUCAGUAUGAUGUCAGGUUUGCAUUCAAAGCAACUCAAGUGUGUAUAACCCACAUGGCUAUUCCCAAAACGCAUUACAGUGACAUCAUUCAGCCCCCAGUACAUUUAUAAAGCAUCAAUGGAGGGAUGGAGGAAGAGAGAAGGUCAUGCCAGCUGAGAACGACAGGUGCACAUGGACCUAGCAGAAUUUCCUGGGGCUGAUCCUGGAGCAGGGAGAACCUCAGCGACACAGCCCAGAGACUAUGAUUGCCACAUCUUUCCUGCUUGGAGCAGCUGGGUUUGGAUGCUCGCUAAGUGUCUGCAGGGAGGCAGAUCACAGUACAUAAACAAAAGAGACAAAAUUUCUGCCCUCAUGGGGCUUACUUUUGAGAGUGGAAGAUUUUUUAAAAAGUAAGUUAAUAUAAAACAGGCCAGGUGGUGAUAAGUGAUAAGAAGAGAUGAAUUGCAUAAAGACAGAUAGAGCACCAGAUGCUGCCAGUAUCCGGGCAGAGAGCUGGAGGAGGGCGGCCAGUAAGAAGCAAGGCCACAAUCUGGGACUGACUGCUCCAGGCAAAGUGAGAGUGAAGAGGCCAGUCGGAUGGAACAGAGUUGAGUCCAGUGAACAAGGAAAAAGAAGCACAGGAUCUACAGCCGGGAGAACUGGGCCCCAAACACUGCUCACUGCUACUCAACCUGCAAACUGGCAAUGGACCACAGCAGUCUGCUCCACCAAGCCAGGCAAAAAGAGAAAAAGAAAGGAGAAAAGAUGUCCACUCUGA
This 925-nucleotide long non-coding RNA is filed under the name Fukomys damarensis (Damara mole-rat). RNAcentral's name for it is "lncRNA (ENSFDAG00000032964.1)". The record is from RNAcentral. Lineage: Eukaryota; Metazoa; Chordata; Mammalia; Rodentia; Bathyergidae.